CCUACGGGAGACAGCAGUGGGGGAUAUUGGACAAUGGGGGAAACCCUGAUCCAGCGACGCCGCGUGAGUGAAGAAGUAUUUCGGUAUGUAAAGCUCUAUCAGCAGGGAAGAAAGAAAUGACGGUACCUGAGGAAGAAGCCCCGGCUAACUACGUGCCAGCAGCCGCGGUAAUACGUAGGGGGCAAGCGUUAUCCGGAAUUACUGGGUGUAAAGGGAGCGUAGACGGUAAUGCAAGUCUGGAGUGAAAGGCGGGGGCGCAACCCCCGGACUGCUCUGGAAACUGUGUAACUGGAGUGCAGGAGAGGCAGGCGGAAUUCCUAGUGUAGCGGUGAAAUGCGUAGAUAUUAGGAGGAACACCAGUGGCGAAGGCGGCCUGCUGGACUGUAACUGACGUUGAGGCUCGAAAGCGUGGGGAGCAAACAGGAUUAGAUACCCCUGUAGUC
Molecule: ribosomal RNA, 443 nt
Filed under: uncultured bacterium
Lineage: Bacteria
Description: partial 16S ribosomal RNA
Rfam family: Bacterial small subunit ribosomal RNA
Source: RNAcentral